This 253-nucleotide ribosomal RNA is filed under the name uncultured bacterium. RNAcentral describes it as "partial 16S ribosomal RNA". It matches the Rfam family "Bacterial small subunit ribosomal RNA", at positions 524 to 776 of the family's 1533-position model. The record is from RNAcentral.
UACGUAGGGGGCUAGCGUUGUCCGGAAUCAUUGGGCGUAAAGAGCGUGUAGGCGGCCCGGUAAGUCCGCUGUGAAAGUCGGGGGCUCAACCCUCGAAUGCCGGUGGAUACUGUCGGGCUAGAGUGCGGAAGAGGCGAGUGGAAUUCCUGGUGUAGCGGUGAAAUGCGCAGAUAUCGGGAGGAACACCAGUAGCGAAGGCGGCACUCUGGGCCGGUACUGACGCUGAGGAGCGAAAGCGUGGGGAGCAAACAGG